UACGGAGGAUGCGAGCGUUAUCCGGAUUUAUUGGGUUUAAAGGGUGCGUAGGCGGACUGUCAAGUCAGCGGUAAAAUACGGGGGCUCAACCUCCGCCCGCCGUUGAAACUGACGGUCUUGAGUUGGGGAAAGGCAGGCGGAAUGCGCGGUGUAGCGGUGAAAUGCUUAGAUAUUGCGCAGAACUCCGAUUGCGAAGGCAGCAUACCGGCGGCGAUCUGACGCUGAGGCACGAAAGCGUGGGGAGCAAAUAGG
RNAcentral lists this ribosomal RNA (252 nucleotides) under uncultured Bacteroidales bacterium. RNAcentral describes it as "partial 16S ribosomal RNA". It matches the Rfam family "Bacterial small subunit ribosomal RNA", at positions 524 to 776 of the family's 1533-position model. Lineage: Bacteria; Pseudomonadati; Bacteroidota; Bacteroidia; Bacteroidales. The record is from RNAcentral.